UACAGAGGGUGCAAGCGUUAAUCGGAAUUACUGGGCGUAAAGGGCACGUAGGCGGCGGAUUAAGUUAGUUGUGAAAUCCCUGGGCUUAACCUGGGAACUGCAAUUAAAACUGAUUAGCUAGAGUCGAAGAGAGGGGGGCGGAAUUUCCGGUGUAGCGGUGAAAUGCGUAGAUAUCGGAAGGAACACCAGUGGCGAAGGCGGCCCCCUGGCUUCAGACUGACGCUGAGGUGCGAAAGCGUGGGUAGCGAACAGG
Molecule: ribosomal RNA, 253 nt
Filed under: uncultured bacterium
Lineage: Bacteria
Description: partial 16S ribosomal RNA
Rfam family: Bacterial small subunit ribosomal RNA
Source: RNAcentral